RNAcentral lists this transfer RNA (86 nucleotides) under Rhodospirillales bacterium. RNAcentral describes it as "tRNA-Leu". It matches the Rfam family "tRNA". From Rfam's summary of the family: Transfer RNA (tRNA) molecules are approximately 80 nucleotides in length. Lineage: Bacteria; Pseudomonadati; Pseudomonadota; Alphaproteobacteria; Rhodospirillales. The record is from RNAcentral. RNAcentral also lists the same sequence under 1 other name.
GCGGGUGUGGCGGAACUGGUAGACGCGCCAGAUUUAGGUUCUGGUGGCUUUUGGCCGUGGGGGUUCAAGUCCCUUCACCCGCACCA